Long non-coding RNA from Neocloeon triangulifer, 1180 nucleotides. RefSeq lists it as uncharacterized. The transcript has 6 exons. The record is from RefSeq and is a predicted model, not a curated record. Lineage: Eukaryota; Metazoa; Arthropoda; Insecta; Ephemeroptera; Baetidae.
CUGCAGAGAGUGCACGAGUAAAUUUGUAAACAAAACAACUUGUUGCAUUUUGGACUUUCGCAGUCGAAAAUCAGGAAAUUGAAUCCGAUGGUCUCGCGCAGACCACGUGUGGAGUAUUUAGGCGUUUUGGCCGUUGGCCGCCGCGGCCGCCGCCACCUACAAAGUCCUCGUCUACUGUACCAAAAAAACUCCACAAAGGCAGUCGAUGUUUAAUUGUCAGCAGCAGCUCAGCCUCAACGAGCCGUCCGUCCACCUCAAUUUUGAAUUGGCCAUCGUUGGUCCAUGCGGCCAUCUUCGACUUCACGCCCAAGGUCUCCGACGCCACGUGGACCCUGAGUUUUGGGCAAAGUCAAAUGUGCAACCUCGCUCGAGACCCUGUGGCUGCUGCGAACCCUUUACUGCAUUUAUCUCAAACUGCCUUCCUUGUCAAACUCAUCCACAUUGUCUGGCGCAAAGCAAAAGAUCAAGAUUGAAAACUGGCAGGUGAGGUGGGGUUGUUGUUGGAGCUUUUCUCACCCACAAACGCCCUCGAUCCAAUUUCAUCGCUUCAGCACCCUUGAGGACCAACGCCCUAAUUUGCAGGUAUUGAUAGAUGUCAAUAACUCUGUCCAUGAAAGCGAGCUAAAAUUUUGGGCGGCGAAAAUAAUACAGCAAAGACCUUUGCAAUAUUGAGUGAAAUUCAUUAAAUUUAUUGCCCUAUGGAGAUGCGAAUAAAUAAAUGGCAUCUUUCUUCGGCCGUUUUGAACAUCAUUUCAAGCAAAUACAGACGGAAGUUAUUAACGUCACCAGAGUUUAAUUCAGAUAAAUUAAUUUUUAGCCUAAAUUCAAUGAAAGAUGAAAUCAAUAAUUUCAAGAAGAGAGAACUAAUUGUAUCAUCAGUUGGUCUCAGGUUCUUAUGCCAAUUCCAGGCAGGAUGAAAAAUGAUGAAUUUUAAUAAAUUGUCUCAAGCUAGAAAAAGUAAAGCGAGGCUGGCUUUUGUAGCCUUAAUUUUUUUAGCUUUUUAAAUAAUAAUCAUGCCUUGACUGUGCUUCUGUUCAGCUUUUGCAUUUUCUUCCAAAUCUUGACAAAUUAUUUACCACGGAUUUUCCCCAAGCAAUGCAAUCUUUUAAAAUGUAUGAAAUUUUUCUCUUUGUAAACUUUUGCUACUCUUUUUGUUCUCAAUAAAGACAUGAUUGGAAAA